UGGGGAAUAUUGGACAAUGGGCGGAAGCCUGAUCCAGCCAUGCCGCGUGUGUGAAGAAGGCCUUUUGGGUGUAAAGCACUUUAAGCGAGGAGGAGGCUACUUGGAUUAAUACUCUAGGAUAGUGGACGUUACUCGCAGAAUAAGCACCGGCUAACUCUGUGCCAGCAGCCGCGGUAAUACAGAGGGUGCGAGCGUUAAUCGGAUUUACUGGGCGUAAAGCGUGCGUAGGCGGCUUUUUAAGUCGGAUGUGAAAUCCCUGAGCUUAACUUAGGAAUUGCAUUCGAUACUGGGAAGCUAGAGUAUGGGAGAGGAUGGUAGAAUUCCAGGUGUAGCGGUGAAAUGCGUAGAGAUCUGGAGGAAUACCGAUGGCGAAGGCAGCCAUCUGGCCUAAUACUGACGCUGAGGUACGACAGCAUGGGGAGCAAACAGG
This 430-nucleotide ribosomal RNA is filed under the name bacterium. Its description in RNAcentral is "partial 16S ribosomal RNA". It matches the Rfam family "Bacterial small subunit ribosomal RNA", at positions 355 to 776 of the family's 1533-position model. The record is from RNAcentral.